RNAcentral lists this ribosomal RNA (255 nucleotides) under uncultured bacterium. Its description in RNAcentral is "partial 16S ribosomal RNA". It matches the Rfam family "Bacterial small subunit ribosomal RNA", at positions 524 to 776 of the family's 1533-position model. The record is from RNAcentral.
UACAGAGGGUGCGAGCGUUGUUCGGAAUUACUGGGCGUAAAGCGCGCGCAGGCGGCCCUUUAAGUCCGUCGGUCAAAUGCCGGGGCUCAACCCCGAUGAAUGCCGAGGAUACUGGAGGGCUGGAGACACGUAGAGGCAAGCGGAAUUCCGGGUGUAGCGGUGGAAUGCGUAGAGAUCCGGAAGAACACCGGAGGCGAAGGCGGCUUGCUGGGCGUGAUCUGACGCUGAGGCGCGAAAGCGUGGGGAGCGAACAGG